Triticum aestivum (bread wheat) is the source of this 2820-nucleotide long non-coding RNA. RefSeq lists it as uncharacterized. The transcript is spliced from 4 exons. The record is from RefSeq and is a predicted model, not a curated record. Lineage: Eukaryota; Viridiplantae; Streptophyta; Magnoliopsida; Poales; Poaceae.
GGCGAGCGAUCAAUGCAGACGAUGUGGGCGGCCUGCGAUGGACUCCAGCUGAGGUGCGACUGGAUUGGGAUCCAGCGGAAGCGCCGGGCGCGGGUGAAUCGGGGGCCGGUCAAUCACGCCGUAGGGCGAUCCGCUGCGAGGUACUCUGUAGAAAGGUGGGGAGACAUGGGCGAUAAUGGCGGCUCAUCUCAUGGAAACUGCUCCAACCAGACUUCAAACGCACAAUCAUACUUCAGUUUCUAAUCGCGCAUUCAUGGCGGGGAACGACGUCUCAUUUGGUGGACACUUCAGUUUCCAAUUGGUACGUGUAUAUAGGCUUCCUCCCCUGCCCCUUUUCGCUCAUCCUCUCUGAUCCAGAUCCAGCAGCACAACAUCUUCAGCAUCGCCCGCUGGAGCCGUUGAAGCAUGGGGGCGAACGGCCCGGCUAGCAGCACCCCCGCCUCGUCAUCCUCUUCGUCGGUCACGGCUGGCAGUGGCGGGACAGCCCAGAAGCCGUGGUUGUUCGUCGGGCUCGGGAACCCGGCAGGAUGUACAAUCUAAUGGGAUUAAGCGCCAUCGAUGAGGAGAGGUGGAUGCUUGAGUGGAAAGGAGGAGUUCAUUGCAGUCUGUAAGAUGGAUGUGUGAUCCGUGAAGUGAAGAUCCAUCCGGCAUCCGUGGUUGGCCGAGGCAAAGAUUUAGUGCUGAAUAGAAAAUAAGUACAUCUGUGGGAAGUGCAUCAGUAGGAUGCAAAUGAAACUUUUGAGACUUAAUGAAGUUGAGCAAAACUGCAGAAAAGAAUUUCAGUCGUGCAAACUAAGUAGAGCCUCCCUCGCAAAAAGAAAGAAAGAAAAAAAAUAAAAAUAAAAACCUAAGUAGAGCCUCUUCAGCAAGAGAACAUACAUAUUUUAAGUUUUUUAUAGCCUGAUCCAGAUGCUGUAAGUUAAGUUUGUAAACUUUGUGAAUCAUUUUGUUCCAGCUUUUCUUAUUGUAUAGUCUAACUGUAUCAGGUCAUUUACUAUGUGCAGAUUUGCUUUUGCCAUUGCUGAUCACGUCCUUCUCUCUCUGCUAGGAAACAUAUACCUACUUAUUGCAUUCUUAGGAUCCUUUUUAGUUAUGCUAAACUUAAAUCCUUCUGUCAACAGUUUAGUGAUUAUUCAGAAGGGACGUUGCAUAUUCCCAGAUGCACCAGAUCACUAGAUGUGGUCUGACUUGGCCUUUGUACUUCACUUCACUCCAUAUCCUUCACAUCAGACACUGUUAAUGAGAAGUUAGUUGGUGUAAUUUGUGAUCAAACGUGUUGCCUGCUACCUUAUUAAAUAUAAUUGCACAACUCAGUGGGUAGGCUCGGUUUACCUGAAGCUUGAUGUUCUUGCCUACCUACUUUCAUUGGUUUUGCAAAGCCAUGUAAUGUCUGUAGUAGCAUAGCCUUUCUUAUAUAGAUUUUAAUAGCACUUAGAUUUUUUUUGACGGAUAACACUGAUAUUAGAUAGGUUUUUUUUUGGGUAGAAUUCUCAAAUUGUUUCACUUGUUCUAAGGGAGCUGUGCAUUCUCAGCUGGUAGCCACUAUCGACUGUUGAAGUUAAUCAUGAUGCAAUUCAUAAAUCUUAGUUGCUAGAAUUUUAGAUUUGCUGGAGCCAUUUUAAUUAUGUCCAGCAAAAUAGACGUUACCUGCUUGGAAAAAGCUACUUAGGCUUGAUGCUAAGCUCUUCUCAGGGGCACAAGCCAAGCUCUUCUCAGGGGCAAAAGUGACGAACAUAUAGCCCAGUCCCUCUCGAUCCCUCUCCUCCCGCGGCGUGAAUCUUUGUAUUCUGCCUCCAUGGUAUUGUCUGUACGUCCCCUUACUUGAAGAGAUUUCUUUUUCCGAGUUUGUCACCUCAAGAUUUAGUGAUGAUUCCAGUCAGAUUGGUUUGCUGCAUACUUAAUCACCAUCCAUUAGAUGAAUUAUUAUUUGUUUGGCUGCUAAAACAAGUACCGGUGCUCUGUUUUGCUAACCUGAAUAUUCAGUUUGUUGUCCUUAAAUCCAAGCAACUUAUUUUGUUAUACUCCCUCAGUCAUGUAAGACGUUAUUACAUUCAAUAUUGCUUGCAUAUUGUAUGUAAUAACGUCUUAUAUUAUGGACGAAGGGAGUAUUUAACAUCCAUAUUACAUUUCAUCAUAUAUUUACGAAUUUCCUACCAUUAUACCGAAGAAAUGCAUGGGCGCGGCAAUGCGCGCCAGCAAUGAUCUAAUUAACAAUCAAAUUAAUAACGGCAGAUGGAAGGUCGACGGGGUUGACUGGCUCGAUCUAGCCGAGCGCGAUGCAGGCGACGCGCGGAUCCUUGGAUACAACCGAUGCAUGCGAUCUGUCUACGAGGGGAUCCAUCUGAUGCGUGUGAUCCUUUGGGAUUUGAAGAAGGCAAUUAAUCUUCAGUCUCUAGAGUCGUUCGUGGUGGAUGAUGUAUGCCGGUCGUUGACGGCGAUUAAUGAAGCGAACACAAUGGAAUAAAUGUGGCAGUUGCUGACCAGACUUGAGUCUAACAAAUGAGCAGUACCUAUGACUGGAUCCGCGUAGGAUGAACAUGAUGUAUACCCCAAAAAUUGUUGACCUGUUAAGUAUUUUCGUGGCGUGGAUGCUAAAGUACGAGCAGGUAAAUCAGAAGCUACUGCAGCUACUUGACUGCAAGAUGCAGUUUGGUUGUGCAUGACGCAUUCUGCUAGAGCUAUGAGAUGAGUUUGACUCCCCUAAGCUUUGUUUGAUAAAUAGUGUUAAGUCCCCUCUUUGGUUGCACACAUUAUUACUUUGCCUUCGGGGGGAAACUGAUUGUAUGAAUGGAUCGGUUAAUUUUACUAAGGUUAAUUAGU